Molecule: ribosomal RNA, 387 nt
Filed under: uncultured bacterium
Lineage: Bacteria
Description: bacterial SSU rRNA
Rfam family: Bacterial small subunit ribosomal RNA
Source: RNAcentral
GACGAACGCUGGCGGCGUGCUUAACACAUGCAAGUCGAGCGGUAAGGCCCUUUCGGGGGUACACGAGCGGCGAACGGGUGAGUAACACGUGGGUGACCUGCCCUCAGCUCUGGGAUAAGCCUGGGAAACCGGGUCUAAUACCGGAUAUGACUCCAUGACGCAUGUUGUGGGGUGAAAGCCUUGUGCGGCUGAGGAUGGGCCCGCGGCCUAUCAGCUUGUUGGUGGGGUGAUGGCCUACCAAGGCGACGACGGGUAGCCGGCCUGAGAGGGCGACCGGCCACACUGGGACUGAGACACGGCCCAGACUCCUACGGGAGGCAGCAGUGGGGAAUCUUGCGCAAUGGGCGAAAGCCUGACGCAGCGACGCCGCGUGAGGGAUGACGGCCU